CCGAGUGAGGGCCCCCGGCCCGACCUCCAACCCCUGUUUUCCGACCCUGUUGCCUCGGGGGCGACCCGGCCUCUCCGGCCCCGCGCCCCCGGUGGACCACUCAACUCUGCAUCUUUGCGUCCGAGUCUGAAUACAAAUCAAUCA
Molecule: unclassified non-coding RNA, 144 nt
Filed under: uncultured fungus
Lineage: Eukaryota; Fungi
Description: sequence contains ITS1
Source: RNAcentral